This is a long non-coding RNA of Mustela lutreola (European mink), 807 nucleotides long. RefSeq lists it as uncharacterized. The transcript is spliced from 3 exons. Lineage: Eukaryota; Metazoa; Chordata; Mammalia; Carnivora; Mustelidae. The record is from RefSeq and is a predicted model, not a curated record.
UCAUGGUCACGCUCUGAAUGCCCGUGGGAGGGAAGCCCGGCAAAGUCUUCCCGUAGGGCACUUGGGACUUUUGUGAUCCGUGUUUGGCGUGGCUGCGUUUUCACAGAGCAGCAAGCCUGGCCGGACCCCGUGCCCAGAGCCCCUCCCCAUCAACUCUGCCGGCUCCACUCCAGCCAGAAACAAUGCACCGGCCAGGAGCGAAGCCAGGGCAACGUUGCUGUGCGUUUCUUUAGUGGCAAGUUCAGAGCAUCCCUGCCCAACCCCCACGGCCCCUCCCCCUUGUGAAACACAGCGCCGGUUAUACCACCCCCGGAGCUCCUGGGGGCGCUGUUCGCGUAGACUAAAACAUGGACGUCGCCUUCGGAAGGCUUGAGCCACAGCUGCACGGAUUCCCCGUGACCCACUCAUGACCUGGCCACAGAGACCCAUGUCGAGUCCCGGUUAACAAGGAAGUGUGUGGUUCAAGAAAGAGGAAGAAAUUGGCAGCUGGCAUUGAGGCCUUUCCAUGAAUUCAGAUAGGCAAGUCCAAGGCUUCUCAGGAAGCCAGCAUGAGGCUCCUUGGAGGUAGAGAUGAUUAGAAAUCUUGGAGCAAUUAUGGAAAAUUGAUUGAAUUGCAGGAUAAAAGAGUACCUUCAUUUUGGCAAGAUGAUUUGGGACUCUUCUUGAUACUCCUCUCUGUGGACACGGGGAACUGUUGGCCAGACAAGUCAUCCCUAUCAUGUACAUUGUACACUUACUGUGCUCUGCAUUGAAAUCACAAAGAUGAAUAAAACAUGGUCCUUGCCUUGGAGAAACUCAGCAUGGUGA